GUGAGGAAUUUUCCGCAAUGGGCGAAAGCCUGACGGAGCAAUGCCGCGUGAAGGAUGAAGGCCUAUGGGUUGUAAACUUCUUUUCUCAGAAAAGAAUUAUGACGGUAUCUGAGGAAUAAGCAUCGGCUAACUCUGUGCCAACAGCCGCGGUAAGACAGAGGAUGCAAGCGUUAUCCGGAAUGAUUGGGCGUAAAGCGUCUGUAGGUUGUUUAAAAAGUAUUCUGUCAAAGAUUAGGGCUUAACCCUAGAUAGGCAGAAUAAACUUUUAAGCUAGAGUUUGGUAGAGGCAGUGGGAAUUCCCGGUGGAGCGGUGAAAUGCGUAGAUAUCGGGAGGAACACCAAAGGCGAAGGCACUCUGCUGGGCCAAUACUAACACUGAGAGACGAAAGCGAGGGGAGCAAAUGGGAUUAGAUACCCUAGUAGUCC
This 426-nucleotide ribosomal RNA is filed under the name uncultured bacterium. RNAcentral's name for it is "partial 16S ribosomal RNA". It matches the Rfam family "Bacterial small subunit ribosomal RNA", at positions 354 to 796 of the family's 1533-position model. The record is from RNAcentral.